Molecule: ribosomal RNA, 253 nt
Filed under: uncultured bacterium
Lineage: Bacteria
Description: partial 16S ribosomal RNA
Rfam family: Bacterial small subunit ribosomal RNA
Source: RNAcentral
GACGUAGGGCGCAAGCGUUGUCCGGAUUUAUUGGGCGUAAAGAGCGUGUAGGCGGCCACUUAAGUCCUGCGUGAAAUCCUGCGGCUCAACCGCAGGCGGUCGUGGGAAACUGGGUGGCUAGAGUGCGGGAGAGGAGAGUGGAAUUCCUGGUGUAGCGGUGGAAUGCGCAGAUAUCAGGAGGAACACCGGUGGCGAAGGCGGGAUCCUGGGCCAGUACUGACGCUGAGGAGCGAAAGCGUGGGGAGCAAACAGG